AUGGCACCUGAUGAAGACGAUGAUGACCUGACUAGAUCGACUGUAUGUGUCGACACACAAAACUCCCCCGUGCAGAAUGACCCAAGUUUAUGUGUUAAAGCAGUGGUGGUGCAAACUGCAAGGUAUCCACCACAGGCGCCAAUGAAUGAAAGAGUUACUAGACGCAAUUGCAAACAUGUGCCGCGCCUGAAGAACCAUCAACACCAAUCAAGCGUUUUGGAGACAAUCAAUGAGGUGGAUGAUGGACCUGCACAAGAUGAUGAUCACAUUGAAUGUUGGACUAAGAUUGUUCCUCAAGAUGACUGCGAGCGAGAACUCGAGCAAUUCUUUAUUCUAAGGCCUAAAACACGAUGUCCGUGA
RNAcentral lists this ribosomal RNA (360 nucleotides) under Triticum aestivum (bread wheat). RNAcentral describes it as "partial small subunit ribosomal RNA". The record is from RNAcentral. Lineage: Eukaryota; Viridiplantae; Streptophyta; Magnoliopsida; Poales; Poaceae.